Molecule: RNA transcript, 998 nt
Organism: Pan troglodytes (chimpanzee)
Lineage: Eukaryota; Metazoa; Chordata; Mammalia; Primates; Hominidae
Exons: 8
Source: RefSeq, a predicted model, not a curated record
AGUCGACUGUUGCGCGUGCGCGCGCUGUGACGUUCCCUACGCGGUCGGGCGUUGGGUUUCGCGGCGCUCGCCGCACUGGUUGUUUAGCACCUUCGGUCCGGUUGAGGUUGUCAAGUCGGACCAAAUAGGUUGUUUCUCUGCAGUUUCCAACAUGGUAGGGAGGUUUAAUAGACAUGGAUAAGAAGUCCACUCACAGAAAUCCUGAAGAUGCCAAGGCUGGCAAAUAUGAAGGUAAACACAAACGAAAGAAAAGAAGAAAGCAAAACCAAAACCAGCACCGAUCCCGACAUAGAUCAGUGACAUCUUUUUCUUCAGAUGAUCCUAUGUUUCCUUCUUCCUCAUCAUCAUCUUCAGGAAGCCAGACAGAUUCAAGUAUUGAAGGUGCUGCCAAGGGAAAAAUUAAGAAGAAGAGAAGAGAGAAAACAAAUAAAUGGAGGGAAAAAAGAAAGGUAUCUUCUGAGAUGUCCAUCAUCCUUUCUGGUCCUCAGUCACUGGUCCACACCAUUUGCCACUAAGAUAUUGUCAUUCCUGUUUGUCUGGUACCUUCAGGACAAAAUAUGAAACACCAAGAAAAAGAGAAGGAAAAAAAGGAGGAAACAACCACAUAUGUCACCUUUCCAAGGAAUAUAAUUCAAUAUCAGAAUGAUUUGGAAGGAAAAAACCUACAGGAAGCUAUUGUAGCCUAGUGAGGAAGAUAAAUAUUAAUACAGCCAAUUUAUAGAUCAGACUAAAGACAAUGAUUGGGGCAUUGAAAAGAACAGAUAGAAGAGAUAUUGCAAAGAGGGGCUGAAACCGGGCUGACCCUUUUGAUUUCCAAACUCAGCGUUUUGGUGUAAGGCGGCCAAAGAAGGAUGCAGAGCCCAGCACUGUGAAGCCUACAAAAACAUUGAUGCGCUGGCUUGGGGAUUUGAAUUUGAACAUCUUUCACAGCAAGUUCAGACUCAUGAAACCAAUCUUCAGAUGCUCUGUAAACCACAUAAUAAAGAGUUUGGAAAUUA